GGCGGGAGGGAGGGAGCGAGGGAGGGAGGCAGGCAGGCAGGCAGGGGAGGAAGGACAGGGAGAGUGCGUGUGUGCGAGUGUGCGAGGGGGGAGAGGCAGGGAAAACUGCGGGGAGCGAGAAGAAAAGUGCGGUAGAAGCCCAGACCCGGGUUGGUUCGCGCUAGAUUGUUUUAGCAGCAAAAUACCUUCCGAUUAAUCGCGAUGUUUAGCGCCUGAUUUAUGUACUGAAUUAUUUAUUUAAAUCUCCAGCUAUCGCUGUUGCCGCGAAUGGUAUGCGAGUCCGAGGGCACCGAGAGCUACAGUGUGUGUGUGUGUGGGGGGGGGGGGGGUGGUGGUGGUGCAAAGUUGCUCUUCCCCGGGAAGGCAGCCUGCUCUAGCCAAGCGCCGUGUGCCCGCCAGCAUGUUGUGUUGCGAGCGUGGUUUCUUUCCUGUGUACAUUCAUUGUGCUUUUUUAAAAAUUAUUUUUUCAGGGCACGAAGAGAACGCCUCAUUCAAACCGUAUUUGGCACCGCUCUUCAUUAAGUGAUCGCUGCUAUCAAGCACGCUGUGGAUGUCUUGGGGGGGAGGCGGGGGGAGAGGGGGGAAAUCCCUUUUAGUUGUGCGAUGAGGCUGCCGGUCUUUGAAAAGGGCUUCAAAACAAAGUCAUGCUCAGCCUUUUGUAGGAUAGAUCCAGAUGUUAUGUAGAUUUGUGUUUGCAUGUUCAUUUUGAGCGGACCCGUCGGUGUGCGAAGCGUUUGCGUGUGUAUCGCUGUGUAUCUGCGUCGCGCUGGCGGAGUGCGUGCUGCAGCAUUAGCUCGGUAAUGCCUUCUAAUGGCAGCGCUAAUUGCAGGAGGGGUAUUUAGCAAAUUAAGUGAGAUGCUGCACCCCCACCCUGGAGCACCACAUGAACUUUUCCAAACACACACACACACACACACACACACACACACACACACACACAUGUUAAUUUUGGUGUGUUUCUCUCGCCCAAUCGCUUGGCUGGAGCUGGAGCAUGCCUUACCUCAGAGCAGUCAAUUACCAAAGCUACCCGGGAUCAUCAAUCAUGGGGGAUGCUUGAAGUUUAGGGGAGGAGCGAUGGUCAAACUAUCGAUUGCUGCAGUUUUGUCCUCCCCAACCCCCCACCCUCAUUCACGCUCCCCUGCACAUAAAAUCUAAAACAGACUAUCCCGUUAAUAGUGGGAUUUAUCAAUGAUUAUGUACUCAGUUGUGAAUGUGCCUCAUACAUAGAUGGCUUUUAAACGUACACCGCAGAAAAAUGUCUUUGAUUCAGUUAGGGUUUGUUUUGUUUUGUUUUGUUUUCAUGAUAAUGGUGAUGGUUUUAGGAUUUUUUUUUUGGCGGCCGGGGGGUGGGGGUGGGGGGCCUUUAAGAAAAUGACUCAAAGGGUAGUUAUAGAAAUUUGGCCUGAUUUUAAUAGGCGUAGGGAAUGAGCUCCAGAGGUCAAUAAACCCCUCCAAAAUGAUGAAUGAUUGAGUACCUGUGAUGAUGAUAGUGAUUACCGGAGCAAUUAAACAGUUUGAUUAAAUGAGCCAUCAUAACAAUGAUGUCUGCGGGAAAUCAGCCCUCACAUAUAAAGAAAGAUAGUGUGGAGGGCUGACAAACGCCAGUGGGCAUUCCUGCGUGUUCCGAUAGCGCCGAGCCCUGCAGAGCAGCCUGUAUUUACAAAUAUGUGGGCAAUGUGGAGAAAAGUCACUCUCCCACUUUUAGCCAGAGUUGCACCCUGCUUAAAAACCGCCAGAAGCCGGAGAGCAAACCCGCUUUUUUUCCCUAGAGGAUCUCCUCCAAGCUUAAAGCUAGUCCUAAGAGCAACCGAAUUGCUGUGACUGACUUUCACGGGACUGUAAAGAAAGAUCAGCCGAAAAGUCCAAAGAGGAAUGAGGUGUCCGGUAUGGAAGUGCAUCUCAGUCAACAGCCAGCUCCUUUUGCCGAGGCUGGAAAUGGUUUUAACAGGCGGUAAAAUUUCAUCUUGUGGUGUCAAAUUGGGGUCAGUUUGGGGUUAGCGCUCUCAGUGUCCGAGAAGGAGCUGUCCAGCUGUGUGGGGAUUCAUUAAGGGCAAAAGAUCCGUUUCAAGAAAAACAAUACAAAGACAAUCAGAGGGCUAAAGAUCCUCUCCAAAUCGCAUUUUACAAGUGCACCAGAACAAAUAUGGACGCUGAAACCUAUUCCCUUCAAACUCCCAAAUCGGCUUCCUAGCGCUUGGAGGGAGUGAGAGAGAAAAUCCUCUAAAACUUAAGAGUCUGUUUUCAAUCAGCCUUUCCGAAGUGUGGCAUCUUAGUCCUUUGCUGGCUCUGAGACGUGCCUCGCUCGCUCGCUCGCUCGCUCUCUCUCUCUUUCCCCAGCCUUGCAAAAGCGGAUGGCACAACAGGAGAUGGUUUCCUCAGUGUGUGGCAAGUGUUUCUUCAAGAAAUUCAUCAGCCCUUCUACAAUUACUUCGAGCUCUGAGGGAAGAGAGCUGCCAUCACUUUCUCACAUCUCAAGGUGUUGCAUGGAGGAGAGAAGAAAAGGCUGGAGCAUUUAAUUAUAAUGGGAGUGGGGGGAACGGAGGCUGAAGAAAGCCCUCCCAAGGCUGUACCUGGAAAAGAAAACCUGCUAGGGUAUAUUUGGGAGACGUGUGUGCCAUUUAGAGAUGGGUAAAAGCACCCCAUCUUCCGCAAUAAUUAGUCUGAACAAUAAACAUAAUUGGAAUAAAAUCAGUUGGAAAUUCCUGCGUUUUUAAUUACGUUUCAUUUUGUGGUAAGCCGUAAAAUUAUGAAUGCCUCUCAAUUAAACACUAUCCACUUGUAAAGCAUUUAACAACAAUUAUUCCUUAAUCAGUUGGAAUGUUAGCCACAAAUGAUGCUGUUAAACAUCAAAGGGACGCCUCAGACGUUACCUUUUAGUCGUAAGUAAGAGGAUUAAUUUCUAUAAUUAGAGGGGAUAAAUAUGUGCAUAAAUACAUCUAAUUUUUUCACCCGUUCUCAUCCUACCCGGGAGAGGCGAGGAUCUCUGGCCCUGCCCGCACCUCUGGUUCUCCCCCGGCUUCGAGGAGGGACCGCCGCGGGCAGAGGGGUGAGCGCACCCCCCAGGGAGGCCCGAUCCCGCGCGGAGCUCCGCGCCUCUCCGCGGGGCCUGGGACCCCCUCCCGCGGCCACGCCGGCGCUCAGGAGCGGCCCCCCCAUGGCCACAGGACUCCAGGGUAAUUUGCAGCCCUCUUUGGGUUUUAUUUACUCUUUUUUUUUAAUGGCACCUGGGGUCUACCUGGUGUCUUUAUUCCCUCGGGGACAAUUUACUGCCCCCAAAUGAAGCUCAAGAUUUGAGCUGAAUGUCGCAAAUAAAAUUAGCAUGACCUUGAUUAUACUCUGUAUGAAUAUCUCAUUUACCUAAUGACUUUAUGUCACGUACGCAGAGGGUCAAUUUCCUUUUAACCUUUCCCAUUGCUGCAGUAAGCAUUCUUUUAUAAUCAAUGGCUGUUUGAAUAAUCAAUUCACGUUUUAUGAUCCCUGACAAACUCAAUAUACGUGUGCCUUGUUUCAGCAAAGCAGCCGGCCCCUCUCCGCGGCGCCUUCGCGUCCGGAGAGUUUGCGGCGGGGCUGCCCGGCUCCCCGGGGAGCCGCCCCGGGCCGCGCACGGCAGCCGCGGCGCGGCGCGCGGGGCUGCGCGGGGCGCUGCGGGGCUGCGCGCCGCCGCCGGCUGCCCACGCGGCCCCGCCGCGACGCCGCGCCUGCCCGCCCGGGCGCACCCGCGCACGCUGCGCGCACCUGGGGCUCGCACGGGCGUGCGGCCGCCCCUGGAACCGCACCAGCUCUGGACUGGCAGUUUCGCAUGUUUUUCCAGCCGUUCGGACUACAGCGUGUGUCUCUUCCUCCCCGCCCCCGGCUCCCUCCUGGCAGUGUGCACGGGUCCAUGGUUCUUUGGUAUGUUGUUAUUCCCCGAAAGGCUGAGCAGGAUGAUUCACAAUAACACUGCAGAGGAUGGGAGAGACCCACAGGAGAAAAUGGUCCCCAAGGGUUGGACGAAGAGGAAGCAGAGGGGCGACAUGCAGGCUCAACAAGUUCUAGGAUGUCACUGUGUUCUCCAUGUUAGACUAAAAGUAUCUAGGUAUUUCUAUUCAUUGUGAGUUAAAUGGUAUAUUCUCCCUGGCGGCAGUGUUAAAGGGCUGAGACUGCUCUUAAUUCCAAACAGCAAAUUCUAUGUCUAAAGUGUUUGUCUAACCAUCUUAUUGCAUUAACACACUUCCACUCACCAAGUUUGUUCCCAACACAGUUAGCCAGUAAACGCAAAGGGCAAAACUCAUCUGUGCUGUAUCACCACUGUCUUUAAUGCUAUUACACUGGAAAGGAAAUUGACUUACAGCAUGUGCCUACACAGAAAAAACAGGUCCAGAAGAAGAGACACUGAGAUAUUACCAUUUCUGACCCUCUCUCAUGAGAAGGCCUGCCAGUCAGUCUAUAGGCUUCACCUACUGGGGAACAAAUUGUCAAAGGAAAUUGUGUGCAAAGCUGGGAGUCUCUGCAGUCAACUCGUUUUCUAUGUUGAUAGUCUUCAGUAUUCUCAGUCCCAAAUGUGUGCCAAAGUCCCACUGAUUCAAAGAGAUGUUUGUCAGGAUGAGGAGCAUGGGACAAGGUUCCUUCCAGAUAUCUCUGCAGGAUGCUGAGUCUCCCUGUGCAGAGUACUGAGUCAGUUCCUACUAGUGGCAAGUGUGGAAACUCGCCAUCCUUGCAGGAAGCCUCAGCUCCAGAAGAGAUCGGUUCCUUAACUCAUACUUUGAUGAUUCACAACUAUGGCUUUUGUUUGACAUUUUUUGAGCAUUUCUCAUGUUGCAAUUGUACUUUAUGCUUUUUCAAAGUGUUUUCCAGAUCUAUAGAGAUGAACAGGCUUUUCUAUGAUGAAACACAAUCUUGCAAUAAUGUACUAGUGUAUUUUGUCUAAAAAGUACAUGGUAAAUUUAAAAAUCUCCUCUUACUACUUCAUAUGUGAUUAAAAACCAUCCCUAAUAGUUCUAUUGAUCAGAGAGUGCUAACAGAAUCUUCUCUUUGAAGUAGAUAAAUAUAAGCAUUGAAAAAAAAAUAGAAGUGUUUGUCCUGUACUCUUACCUUGAGGCCAUAUUAUACAUAUACAAUAAGACAUGUCUAGGCAUGUGUCAUACUGGAUAAUACUAUUUCUUGGGUGUUUGAGGGACACAGCUUUACCUUGGACUUCACAACAGCUGAGACACGCCAUUUAACACCAGGAUCUUGGCAUUACUGAACAAAAACUACAAAGCUGUUUAUACUUACUAACCUAUAUAUGAGCGUUUUUUUUAAUUGCUUCAUCUUAAAUACCCAAGUCAUUUUAUUCCCAUUAUUCAUGUGCAAAGUUAAAAAGAAACAUUUGAAAUAUUUUUCUCUUUUAUAGAAGAGCUGAUAAAAACUAUUAACCUGAAAUGAACUCUUGCAUGAAUGCAGAUCUAUUUUCUGGGCUCAGAUCUCUUAUUCCCAGUUGGGAACCCGACAUUAGAUCAGGGCACUACAAUCAAUCCUUAGUGGGAAAGUGUUCUUUACUUGGAAAUAUUCACCAAGAGCAGCAUAGGCAAACAGCUUUCAGUUUAAGUCAUUCACAGUAUGUUCAUUUGGGCUUUUCAUUUCAUCAUUCUUGAUGUGUCACUAGUCACCUAUCACACUAUCUCUAUUCCCUGAUAGGUUGGUUGAUAUUAUUCAAACAAGAGACUAAAUGGAUAAUAAAAGUGCAUAACAAAUAUUUCUAUGUACUGUUUUCGUUUUUUACAGUUACUCAUACCAAGCCUGAUUCUGCUUCCAUUUCAUUUAAUAAGAGCAGGGUUUGGUCCACAAGGAAAAUCUAUUCACCUAAUACUUGUUCAAAACAAAAUCCUGUUUGCUUUAAUGUUCACUUAUAUGGUCAGAAACAUGAGCAAAACAAAAGCCAUCUGAAACCCGGAUGGCUGCUCUGUAAAUAGAGUUUGCAGUACGAACCCGGCAACAUAAACGAUUUUGCCACUGUGGGUUCAUUUCAGCUUCUAAACACUAUUGAGGAUAAUCAAUCGCCUUUCUUCCCCUCCCCCUGCUUAACUUCAGAUCACUUCCUCUUACAAACGGCUUUUGGUAUUGAAGCAAGAUUGUAUUGUGUGAUGCAAAAGCAAAUUUCUUUGUUCUGUUGUUUCCAGACUUCAUCCAUUAAAGAAGGUCCUGUCUGCA
Long non-coding RNA from Dromaius novaehollandiae (emu), 6168 nucleotides. RefSeq lists it as uncharacterized. The transcript is spliced from 5 exons. The record is from RefSeq and is a predicted model, not a curated record. NCBI's taxonomy places the organism in Eukaryota, Metazoa, Chordata, Aves, Casuariiformes, Dromaiidae.